RNAcentral lists this transfer-messenger RNA (365 nucleotides) under Treponema peruense. Its description in RNAcentral is "transfer-messenger RNA, SsrA". It matches the Rfam family "transfer-messenger RNA". From Rfam's summary of the family: Bacterial tmRNA, also known as 10Sa RNA or SsrA, is named for its dual tRNA and mRNA-like properties. Its role is to liberate the mRNA from a stalled ribosome. To accomplish this part of the tmRNA is used as a reading frame that ends in a translation stop signal. RNAcentral also lists the same sequence under 1 other name. The record is from RNAcentral. Lineage: Bacteria; Pseudomonadati; Spirochaetota; Spirochaetia; Treponematales; Treponemataceae.
GGGGGUGCACCGGUUUCGACAGGAAGGAGAAAUCUUGUGCUGCAGGUGGGCGUGAAGGUGCCCUGAACUGACAAAAUAAUAACUGCAAAACGUAGAGAAGACGAAGAGUCUUACAACGAACAGUUAGCACUCGCUGCUUAAGCAGUGCCGGAACUUCAGUUGUGCUGUUCCUAACAGCUGGAUGUUCUGUCACAAACAGGGACUUGCUCUGCAUUAUGUUCGGGUUCUGCAGGGGACUUUAUCCGGAAUAAGGAGACGACGCCUUUGAAGCCGCUACCGUUUCCCGACAACUACCUCGCUUCAAUAAACCUGUAGAGGCGCCUGGUUUGCCUACUUGGACGCGAGUUCAACUCUCGCCAUCUCCA